GUCCACGCCGUAAACGAUGAGUACUAAGUGUUGGGGGAAACCUCAGUGCUGUAGUUAACGCAAUAAGUACUCCGCCUGAGUAGUACGUACGCAAGUAUGAAACUUAAAGGAAUUGACGGGACCCCGCACAAGCGGUGGAUCAUGUUGUUUAAUUCGAAGAUACGCGAAAACCUUACCAGGUCUUGACAUACUCUGCAAUGGCUUAGAGAUAAGUUCGGAGGUUAACAGAGAUACAGGUGGUGCAUGGUUGUCGU
This 254-nucleotide ribosomal RNA is filed under the name uncultured bacterium. RNAcentral's name for it is "partial 16S ribosomal RNA". It matches the Rfam family "Bacterial small subunit ribosomal RNA", at positions 793 to 1055 of the family's 1533-position model. The record is from RNAcentral.